UGAGGAAUUUUGCGCAAUGGGAGCAAUCCUGACGCAGCAACGCCGCGUGGGUGAUGAAGGCCUUCGGGUCGUAAAGCCCUGUCAGGUGGGAAGAAUGUCCCGGGACUGAACAGGUUCCGGGAGUGACGGUACCACCUGAGGAAGCACCGGCUAACUCCGUGCCAGCAGCCGCGGUAAUACGGAGGGUGCAAGCGUUAUUCGGAAUUACUGGGCGUAAAGCGCGUGUAGGCGGUCCUGCAAGUCUGAUGUGAAAGCCCCGGGCUUAACCCGGGAAGUGCAUUGGAAACUGGGGGGCUUGAGUACUGGAGAGGAGGGGGGAAUUCCGGGUGGAGAGGUGAAAUUCGUAGAGAUCGGGAGGAAUAUCAGUGGCGAAGGCGCCCAUCUGGACGGAAACUGACGCGGAGACGCGAAAGCGUGGGGAGCAAACA
RNAcentral lists this ribosomal RNA (428 nucleotides) under uncultured prokaryote. RNAcentral describes it as "bacterial SSU rRNA". It matches the Rfam family "Bacterial small subunit ribosomal RNA", at positions 355 to 774 of the family's 1533-position model. The record is from RNAcentral.